CCACCUUUGACAUGUACGGAAGAUCGCAGAGACGCGAUUGUGCUCGAAAGAGAGCCGUAACACAGGUGCUGCAUGGCUGUCGUCAGCUCGUGUCGUGAGAUGUUGGGUUAAGUCCCGCAACGAGCGCAACCCUUGCCAUUAGUUGCUACAUUUAGUUGGGCACUCUAAUGGGACUGCCGGUGACAAACCGGAGGAAGGUGGGGAUGACGUCAAGUCCUCAUGGCCCUUAUAGGUGGGGCUACACACGUCAUACAAUGGCUGGUACAAAGGGUUGCCAACCCGCGAGGGGGAGCUAAUCCCAUAAAGCCAGUCGUAGUCCGGAUCGUAGUCUGCAACUCGACUACGUGAAGUCGGAAUCGCUAGUAAUCGUGGAUCAGAAUGUCACGGUGAAUACGUUCC
RNAcentral lists this ribosomal RNA (399 nucleotides) under uncultured bacterium. RNAcentral's name for it is "bacterial SSU rRNA". It matches the Rfam family "Bacterial small subunit ribosomal RNA", at positions 975 to 1374 of the family's 1533-position model. The record is from RNAcentral.